This 254-nucleotide ribosomal RNA is filed under the name uncultured bacterium. RNAcentral's name for it is "partial 16S ribosomal RNA". It matches the Rfam family "Bacterial small subunit ribosomal RNA", at positions 524 to 776 of the family's 1533-position model. The record is from RNAcentral.
UACGUAGGCAGCGAGCGUUGUUCGGAAUUACUGGGCGUAAAGAGUGUGUAGGCGGUGCUCUAAGUUCGGUGUGAAAUCUCCCGCUUAACCGGGAGGGUGCGCCGAAAACUGGGAGACUAGAGUGCGGGAUGGGAGAGUAGAAUUCCUGGUGUAGCGGUGAAAUGCGUAGAUAUCAGGAGGAACACCGGGUGGCGAAGGCGGCGACCUGGUCCUAUACUGACACUCAUACACGGAAAGCGUGGGGAUCAAACAGG